This 693-nucleotide ribosomal RNA is filed under the name uncultured bacterium. RNAcentral's name for it is "bacterial SSU rRNA". It matches the Rfam family "Bacterial small subunit ribosomal RNA", at positions 111 to 791 of the family's 1533-position model. The record is from RNAcentral.
UAACACGUGGGUAACCUNCCCAAGAGACUGGGAUAACACCUGGAAACAGAUGCUAAUACCGGAUAACAACACUAGACGCAUGUCUAGAGUUUGAAAGAUGGUUCUGCUAUCACUCUUGGAUGGACCUGCGGUGCAUUAGCUAGUUGGUAAGGUAACGGCUUACCAAGGCAAUGAUGCAUAGCCGAGUUGAGAGACUGAUCGGCCACAUUGGGACUGAGACACGGCCCAAACUCCUACGGGAGGCAGCAGUAGGGAAUCUUCCACAAUGGACGAAAGUCUGAUGGAGCAACGCCGCGUGAGUGAAGAAGGGUUUCGGCUCGUAAAGCUCUGUUGGUAGUGAAGAAAGAUAGAGGUAGUAACUGGCCUUUAUUUGACGGUAAUUACUUAGAAAGUCACGGCUAACUACGUGCCAGCAGCCGCGGUAAUACGUAGGUGGCAAGCGUUGUCCGGAUUUAUUGGGCGUAAAGCGAGUGCAGGCGGUUCAAUAAGUCUGAUGUGAAAGCCUUCGGCUCAACCGGAGAAUUGCAUCAGAAACUGUUGAACUUGAGUGCAGAAGAGGAGAGUGGAACUCCAUGUGUAGCGGUGGAAUGCGUAGAUAUAUGGAAGAACACCAGUGGCGAAGGCGGCUCUCUGGUCUGCAACUGACGCUGAGGCUCGAAAGCAUGGGUAGCGAACAGGAUUAGAUACCCUGGU